This is a long non-coding RNA of Anopheles merus, 2779 nucleotides long. RefSeq lists it as uncharacterized. The transcript has 4 exons. Lineage: Eukaryota; Metazoa; Arthropoda; Insecta; Diptera; Culicidae. The record is from RefSeq and is a predicted model, not a curated record.
GGCCACACACAAGUCACACAAAAACCGAGCAAACGCAAAGCAGCAGAAACGGUGUGUACGGAAAACGGUGCGGAACUAGUAUUUCCAGGCCGUUCCAAAGAACCACUAGAGCAAGAAACCGUCCGGUCUAGGGGGUCUGGUCACUGUUAAUGGGUGUAUAGUUCCUGCGCGACUAUCGGAGCGACACGAGCUGCCACAAGCGACGAGCGGCACCAGUCGGGCUGACAGCUGUUUCAGAGAUCGUAGAUCUGUGCGAGCGCGACGAAGGGCGGCGCAGUGGGACAAAUUGCAGGGGGAGGGGGGGAAGUGCAGAGUGGCUAACGUUCAUAGAGCACGCGAUCGCUCUGCAAAGCUGCAAACGAUUGCGCGAUACGCGGUGCUGAAAAGCAAAGACGUGCGACAUCGCGAAUCAUACGCAGGCGGCAGUCAGCAGGCAGUGCUCGGCCAUCUUCAGUGUGGAAGCCUCUUCUCUCCUCUCCCACCGAAUUAUACCAACCUGCACAAGAAUGGCGCACCGAGUACACACCGGCUCUUCAUCCAGCUGCCUGACAGCUGUCACCAUACGGAGGGAAGGUUCAUAGUGUGUGUGUCUUGCGCACAACCGUGUGUGUUACGCGCACUCACCAAUGCCACGUGUAAACUUCGCCGCUGAAGCGUAAUUCCUGGAGCAGUCGCCAGGAAGCACACACACACUUUGACAUUGACGCGUACCUUUUUCGUCCUGUCGUGUGAGCAAGUGGUGCUGCCAGAUUUGUACACUGUAAUGAUUGCCCUCAGCGUUCGACCCGUAAUGACGCAAGCACCACUGCCGUUGAUGUUCUCCCUUCCAGCAGCAACAUAAUUCACGACCACGACCUAAACUCAGCCCCGUGUACUAAGAACCCACCGAACCCGAAGCAGAAGCAGAAACGAUGCGUUGGUAAUGCAUGGACCUAACCAACAACUACUAGCCCACAACCACUGUUACCACUUCCGAGGUUCUCCACUCUCACGCGGGAUGAUGUAGCAAGGAACAACAAUACCAGGGUGAGCCAAUUCGUUGGCUAAACGUCUGACAAUUACACGUUCAACGUGCAACACUCGGCCUCGGUGUAAUCAGAAGUGAAGAUAAAUUAUUACCGGUGAAAGUAGGUCAGCCGGUGAGAAGCAGGGCUCUGGGGGAAGAUCCAUUGUCUGCCACCGGGCUACACCCGGAAAGGCGGCUAAUAAGAACCAGCAGGAGCGUUGGGCACGUUGAAGAAAGCCAUUCUAACGAGUGAUGAAAUAUGGUACGUGUUUUUCCCCCCCAAGUACAUGAUACAUGGUUCUCCCCAACAAGGCCCCAACUGAACCUUAAGGACCGCUAAUUGUCGGGUUGUAUUGUCAAGCUUGAAACAUCAACUAUAUCGGCCGCAUAUAAUGACAUUAAUCGUAGUACAUGGGCUCAUCGAUCCGGGUUCCAGGGUAGCGCACCCCAGUAAAUCCCGAUGUACGUUGGGCUGUCUAUGCCUAGUGUUCAAUAGCAGGUCUAACUACAGCACGGCAGCAAGGAAUGCAAUCGAAGUAGGUGUACCGUGUCUGGAGCAUCGUUCAUCGUUUUCGAUAUUUUCACCCGAACCAGAUUAAGGACGACCGGCUGAAACAUUCCUUUCUGUAGAAUACUUUCCGCCCGGUCCCGGUAAACGUUUAGUCGAUUGUUUGUGGUUGUACAAUUCUCGGUAAAAGUGCCCACAUGGGGCACAGCUUGAGCCUAAGCUGAGGGUGCAUUGUGUGCUGUCAUGGUUUUGUUGUACUCCUUUGUGGUCAACACGCAAUGCUUGUUACUCUCCCUUUCUCUCUCUCUCUCUCCUCUUGCAUGAGGUGCGUGAAGGAAACCCAGAAGGUGGCUUUUCGGUCGGUUGCAUGUGGGUAUGGAUCCAAACCUGGAUACGGAUCUCUUUGCUACGUGGUGCUUCAAAGUAACCGCAAAUCUGCUCAUUCGCCCAGCAGAGGUACUACAGCACUGGAACAGGGCUGACUGCACAUACCUUCGUACUGAGGGCGCUCUGUUGGCCGUAUGAUUUCCACUUCUUGAAUCAUUUUGCACUCCAGAUGGACCCGAUCUGAGAUUGGGGAUUCAUUAAAGCGGAUUCCGAACGAAUGCGGCGCCAGGAAAAUUCCAAACAAAAAUGCAUCCCCUUUAAAUCUCUGCAUCUCUGUACAGUGCUUAAGCGAAGCCUGGUAGCUACCCAGACCGGACAUGCAGAUGAUGAUGAUGAUAACAUCAAUUAUGGUUUUUUUUUUUGUUUUGCUGUUUAUUGUGCCUUCCUGAAACAUUAAUUACGCUCACUAAUUACUCGCUCGUCGGAGAAAAUGUUCCUUACUUUCGCAGCGCUCUCGCGGAAGCGCUCGAAUGAGUUCAUGCCCUUCAAUGCGCACUCAAAAAAGCUUCCCGUGCGUGCGCUCGCGUGCGGAAAGCGGAAAGUUUUAUAUGCUAACAGUAGCUGUAGCAACAGCGGCAACAGUAAAACCUUGCCUAUGCUGGAUUCGGGGGUUUGAGUUUGAAGCUAAUUUUCGAGAGAAACCAUGAUGUUAGAGAAACACUCCAAACAAAAUGAACUCUUUUUUAAUAAAGCUAAAUAGCAUCAAUACUAACCCAAAAGUAAUGUAAGAGCUUUAAAUGUGAAAUGUUUGUAUUUUCUCAUUCUUGAUCACCAAAUAAAGAAAUUGAGUCUUCAAAACUACCUUAAAUUUUAUUAAAUUCUAGUCACAAUACUACUAUUACGAAUGUUGGAAACAACACUCUAACAUCAGACAUUUU